This 253-nucleotide ribosomal RNA is filed under the name uncultured bacterium. Its description in RNAcentral is "partial 16S ribosomal RNA". It matches the Rfam family "Bacterial small subunit ribosomal RNA", at positions 524 to 776 of the family's 1533-position model. The record is from RNAcentral.
UACGUAGGUGGCAAGCGUUGUCCGGAAUUAUUGGGCGUAAAGCGCGCGCAGGUGGUUCCUUAAGUCUGAUGUGAAAGCCCACGGCUCAACCGUGGAGGGUCAUUGGAAACUGGGGAACUUGAGUGCAGAAGAGGAAAGUGGAAUUCCAAGUGUAGCGGUGAAAUGCGUAGAGAUUUGGAGGAACACCAGUGGCGAAGGCGACUUCCUGGUCUGUAACUGACACUGAGGCGCGAAAGCGUGGGGAGCAAACAGG